Molecule: long non-coding RNA, 1781 nt
Organism: Musa acuminata AAA Group (dessert banana)
Lineage: Eukaryota; Viridiplantae; Streptophyta; Magnoliopsida; Zingiberales; Musaceae
Exons: 4
Source: RefSeq, a predicted model, not a curated record
UGGGCAUGAUGUGCGGGGAGAUCGGGAGGUCCUGGAGUGAGCCGAUCCCCCUUUCUCCGCAUCUGUCCUCCUCCCCGACCUCUCGCCACCGCCAUCGUCCUCGAAACUCUCUGCUAGAAGAUCUCUCCACCGCCAUCUUCCUCCGAUCGCCCGACGCCUUCGUCAUCUACGGGGUCUGAAGAACCCUAGCGCGUUCUUGCUCCGGGUUCUUUCUCCGUCUAACCUUUUCUUGGAUGCAGCGGACGAACUGGUGGGCGCAGUGCUGGGAGUCAGUACGAGUUCCAAGAUCCAUCUUGGACAUGUUGGUCCGGGAUCAACGUUCUCUUCCUAUACCAGAAACUAAUUGUUCUGUUGUUCAACAAAACUUUGAUGGAAUAAUUAGCCACGGAGUUUACUUCUUUCUUUUGCAUUCAUCUGGAGUCGCUGACUUAUGUUUUGGUGAGAAGAUGGGAUCAGAGCAGGGUGGUACGUUGCACAUGAAAACUUGGAGUUGGUAGUAAGUUCCCCUCCUUUAUGGAUUAAUGGUAUGCAUUCGGGCAAAAUCCCUUUUCUUGUGAACUAUGAGUAUUUUGAAUCAGGGAAUAAGUUGAAGUGGUUGGAUCAUCCCUAAGGACCAGAUUUCUCUGCACGACAUAAUGUACAGCGGUAAGAAGACCACCCCGUGUGGGCAGGUGACAUCACGGACCGGAAGGGGCCUACUGGUGCUAAACACAUCGGUACUGGAGCCAUUUCUUCUCUAUUUUUGGAAGCUAAUGCAACCGUGCAAUGAAGCUAAAAGACAUGGCCUGGCCUUGUUUUGCAUAUUCUCAGCAUGUUCAAAUCUUCUUAUAAAAUGGAUGACUUGCAUGAAUAUCAUGAAGUGGACUUGUCACUGUAGAUAAUAUCAUCCAUUUUAUAAUCCAUAUUAAAAUUCUAAUUCUAAAUGAUCUGUGGAUCAAUUUUAUACUUGUUGACCAUAGCUUUUUGUUCAUUUUGGGAAAAUCCAAAGUUACCUCACAGUUCUUUGAGCAUGUCCGCAGGUACAACUAAUUUCAGAGCCUACAGGUAAUUAGGCUUUUCAACAUGAAUUGUCAGAAAACUACCUGCUUAUAUUCAGAAAGAGAGAAUUAAUUAAAAUCUAAUUUGUAAAUGCAUUUGAUGAAUAAGAGAUCAACACAAGUCGGUCUCAGAGAUCGAAUUUUUCAUACAAGGACAAUAGUUUAAACUUGACAGCAUCGCCUGUAGAAUACUUGCAGGUUUGCCAGCCCUACUCUAGCAUAACUGCAAAACUGGGAAUUUGAUCUAGAAGAUAUGACCAUGCCAAAUUUUCUUCUAAGCUUUCUUUGUUGGCAUUAAACAAUCUUAAUAGUGUGAUCCAUUCAUUUCCUUCUCUUCAAAGUCUAACUAAAUUCACUAUUGCAGAAAACAAGUAAACUCUAUUUCAAAGUUACCAAGAUAUAAUUGAAGAAGAUGCCCUCACCUUAUUUCCACAAAGCUAACUAUGUUAAGUUACCAAGAUAUAUCAAAUGUGAUAAAAGCACUGGUGGGCUUCUCAGUAGGUGACAAUGGCAGACUAACGCCAGGUUGUUAUUCAUGUUUCUAAAAUGGGGAUGGCCUGGGUGGAAAGAGUUGUAGAUUAGAUCAACAAAGUUUGUCAUAGUUCAUGCACCUAAAGUCAAUCAGAACAGCGGAUUGCAGGUUCCCCACCCUAUAGUCUGUUUGAGUAUGAAAAUGAAGCGAGAAAUACCCAGUGGUUUCAGCAUGAAACAAGCGAGCUUGGUCUUCUUUGUUUCCCUCAUCGA